Molecule: unclassified non-coding RNA, 345 nt
Filed under: soil metagenome
Description: partial contains 5.8S ribosomal RNA, internal transcribed spacer 2, and large subunit ribosomal RNA
Rfam family: 5.8S ribosomal RNA (bases 1-120)
Source: RNAcentral
GAUGAAAAACGUAGCGAAAUGCGAUACGUAAUGUGAAUUGCAGAAUUCAGUGAAUCAUCGAGUCUUUGAACGCACAUUGCGCCCCCUGGUAUUCCGGGGGGCAUGCCUGUCCGAGCGUCAUUGCUGCCCUCAAGCACGGCUUGUGUGUUGGGCCUCCGUCCUCCUCCCGGGGGACGGGCCCGAAAGGCAGCGGCGGCACCGCGUCCGGUCCUCGAGCGUAUGGGGCUUCGUCACCCGCUCUUGUAGGCCCGGCCGGCGCCUGCCGACACAUCAAUCUUUUUUCCAGGUUGACCUCGGAUCAGGUAGGGAUACCCGCUGAACUUAAGCAUAUCAAUAAGCGGAGGA